AUUAGCCCUGACAAAUAGCGAUUUGAUCCCACAGGGCAACUCCUAUUGAAAACCAAGAUAACACAAAUAUUUUCAAUUCUUCAAGUUGAACCCAGCCUAAGUAUUUUGUUUUGUGGGUGAUCUCUCUGCUCUUUUAUUAAGGGAAGAUCAUUUUAUGAGAGCUAAGAGUAUUUGCAUUCCUAGCAUGGGAAGAAGUUUAAAUUCCCAACCAACACAUUGUUCAAGCAAGUAAAAAGAACUGGAGAGUUUCCGCAAGUGUGUUUUUGAGCUGCAGUAUUCUGAGCUUGGUGAUGAUUGAAGGUCCUGGAACAGGAGACAGCAGGUUUUAUUGGGCUGGAAUAUGCUGCUUGGAAUUGUGGCCAUGAGAUGACGGGCCUGAGGACCAAAGGCACCAGUGUAGGAUUGACAAGAUAGAAGGGCAGAAACGUCUUGAUGUCGUGAUGAUAUCACUGAGCCACUGUUACAACCCUGGGAUCAUGUACCCCGAUCUCUUGCUGAAGCCACUUUCAGGUGGAUAUUCUGUGACAGCCCAAAGUUUUCUAAGUAAAUACAUCCAGUGAGAAGGUGGCCAUGUGUUCCAAUAGCGCACAGAACCCUGAAGAAGCACGUGGCCUGUGGCCUCUGGUUAUCGCGAAUUUCUGAUGUUCACAGUUGUAGUUUGGCAUACUCCUCUUGGAAAAGGUAGAAGACCACGACUUGCUUGACUGUGGUCCGAGAAUAAUCCAUCGGCUCAUGUUGGCAGAGCCUAAGGCUGUGAACUGUCUUCUCAUUACUGAGGAAGCAGCGAGCAUCAAUGUCAUAUUCAACCUGAGAAAGGAAAGAACUUUGCUCCAUAUUUCACACGAUGUUUCUUUACCUUUCUCUCCUACUUCCCAUAAUCUUAUCUUUUCUUUGACUUCAGAGAACUCCUUUUACUUUUCUAUUUUGUCUGUUCUGAUGUGACUAACUUCUUCAAUACGGUAAAGCAAUGGAAAGAAAGCUGGCUGACUGACUCAGAGCAGUGCCAAAAAUGUACGUAUGGAAUGUCAGGACAUGCUCUAUUGAAGACGCAGAAAUUUAGUUAAUCUCCAAAGGAAUCCAACCCUCCCCCCUCCUCACCACCAUUGCUGCCCAAAUUUCACAUCCUUUAGAAGAAUAAACUCUUCAAGAAGAGAAAUCAGCACAGUAACUUCUGAAAUAAACCUAUUUUUUAAAUGGAUAUAUUCCCUAGAGAAGAGUUUCUCCCAGGCCUUUGAGUUGUACCAUUUCCAGUAACAGUGGUUUUGGAUUUUCAGUUUAGGAUCUGCGGAGAGGAAGAUAUGCCAGUGGGAAGUCACUGUGGAAGACAGUUUGGCAGUUUCCUACAAAACUAAGCCUACCCUUACCGUACCCUCUAGCUAUCCUGCUCCUCGGUAUUGACCCAAAGGAACUGAAAACGUGUCCACACGCAUACCUGCACUCGGAUGUUUAUAGCAGCUUCAUUCAUAACUGCCAAAACUUGGAAAGAACCAAGACGUUCUUCAGGAGGUAAAUGGAUAAAUAAACUGUGGUGUUAUCCGGACAGUGGAAUAUUAUUCAGUUCUGAAAAGAAAUGAGCUAUCAAACCAUGAAAAGACGUGGAGGAAACUUAAAGGCAUAUUACUAAGUGAAAGAAGCCAAUCUGAAAAGAUGACAUAUGAACAAAAUGGAACCCUCCUCCAACAGACCUGUUCUGCACCAGCAGAUGAAGCGUUGGGUUCUGCCAAACGACCUCUAUCAUUUUAUAACAGCACUGUUGGGGGGAGGGGCAAAGCAUAUAGAUGGUAAGCACAUUUUCUUGCUUAAUUUUGCGCAAGGAACAAAGGUUAUCCAAAGAGGGCUGGAUUUUAGUGAACUGCACAGAACCCAGCAGAGAAAAGAGGUGUGGAAAAUGGCAAUUAGGUAAGAUAUGACAAUUUUCUACAAGUUUAUAAAGCUCAAACUUAAGAGAAUACUUUUGAGAAUUUGAAGAAGUGUAUGUGAGGGAUGUUAUGACAUUAGGUGAAGUGGAGGAAGGAGCAGAGAGAGGCUGAGGUAGACCAAGAUCACUGCAGCAGCCUUUGAUUUGGUUUAAUUGAUGGAGCACAAAAAAAGAAAAAAAGGAGAAAAAGAAUGAGGAGAUGGUGAAAUUGACAAAUGUAAAAUACUGUAAGAGAAAUUCCUGUAGCUUGUCUAGAGCAGAAGUGGAAAAGUUUGUUAUACUAGGAAAUAGUCAUUUAAAUGGAAAGAUG
Molecule: long non-coding RNA, 2228 nt
Filed under: Equus caballus (horse)
Lineage: Eukaryota; Metazoa; Chordata; Mammalia; Perissodactyla; Equidae
Description: lncRNA (ENSECAG00000052186.1)
Source: RNAcentral